UCUCGAAAUCCAGCAUGGUGUACUGCCGUUGUAAGCAUACCUCUAAAAGAACAAGUAUGCCGUCAUGAUUUAAACAACUCAUAUACAUCAGGUCAAAGUGCAGCCAAUAAGAAGGUGAUGAUGGGUUACAACCCCAAAAAAGACUAUCAACUAAGAAAUUAAAAAUCUUACGAAAGUGGACUUGGCCGUAAUCAAUUUAUAGGUUAAAAAAAUGAAUAAAUACCUAAGACAUGCACACAUCGCCCGUCACUCUAUCCUAAAGGUUAGAUAAGUCGUAACAAAGUAGGUGUAAUGGAAAUUGCACCUAUCGGAGUAUAGCAUAUAUAAUGCUUUUUACUUACACUAAAAAUAAAGUGAACACUUAUUCCGCCCACAUAAAACAAUCUUUUAAGAAUUAAUUUAUAAUACAAACAACUAAAAUUAAUAAACACAAAGUACAGAAAUGGAAGAAACAAUAAAUAACAGUAAUUCUUAACAAGUGUACCUCGUGCAUUAUGGUUUUACAAGAAAUUAAUUAAAUAUACAAAUCCCGAAUUCUAAAUGAGAUGUUAAACUGCUGUUAAGAACCUAUUAGUAGCUGUAGAAAAAGCUUUAAAAGACAGUUUAACAGAGGCUACAUACCAUUCGCAUAAGAAUAUAGCUGGUUUUCAACAAACAUUAUACAUUAAAACAUAUAAUAAACAUUAUAGUGUAAUAUUAUUGAGGAUAAGCCCAAUAAUUUAAGCAAUGCCACAUCAAAUCUAUUUAUUCCAAUAGGCUUAAUAUCAGCCAAUUAAAAUACUUUACCGUAACAAAAACCGAUAUAAUAUGUAAUAAAGCAUGUAGGAAAUAGUUGAAAUGGGGGGCAAUCUACCUAACCCGCUCUUAAUAUGUAAAAAUAAGUAUUAGUAAGGUAUAAUUAUUAGAUAACCAGAAAUUAACAAUAAACUAAAAAUAAUAACUAAUUAAGGAACUCGGCAAAUAACUAUUUCGACUGUUUAACAAAAACAUUGUCUCAUGAAUACAAUAUGAGAUAAUA
RNAcentral lists this ribosomal RNA (1018 nucleotides) under Amynthas incongruus. RNAcentral describes it as "partial 12S ribosomal RNA". The record is from RNAcentral. Lineage: Eukaryota; Metazoa; Annelida; Clitellata; Crassiclitellata; Megascolecidae.